Molecule: non-coding RNA, 11997 nt
Organism: Nothobranchius furzeri (turquoise killifish)
Lineage: Eukaryota; Metazoa; Chordata; Actinopteri; Cyprinodontiformes; Nothobranchiidae
Source: RefSeq, a predicted model, not a curated record
GCUGUUAGCUAAACACGGCUAAAGAAAACCUGCUACCACUUCAGGAUCAUCCAUCAGCUGGGACUGAUUCAUCGUGUGUUCUUCACCACCUGGACCUGGACAGCAUGGACACAGGUGUGAAACAUCUGUAAACGCCAGAUCUGGUGCAGGAAAAUGGCUGAACAGGGAGUGGGGACACACUUUGCCUUCUGCGGUUAUUUUCAACAGGUGGUUCUGGUUAAAGAAGAAGCUUCAGAAGAACAGAGAUCUUGUGUCAACCACCAGCACCUAGAUUUUCUCCAUAUAAAGGAGGAACAGGAGAAACUCUGGUCUAGUAUGGAGGGAGAGCAUCUCCAUUUGAAUAAGGAGACUGAUGCUGCCAGGUUUCAAUCCUUUAGCCAAAAAACACAUUUAAACAAACACUUCAGAGUCCAGACAAAGCAGAAACAUUUUGCCUGUGAGCACUGUGGACAAAGGUUUCACCAAAAGACUAAUUUAACCACACACAUGAGCGUCCACAUAGGAGAGAAGCCUUUUGUCUGUGAGCUCUGUGGAACGAGAUUUAGCCGAAAGACACAUUUAAACACACACAUGAGAGUCCACACAGGAGAGAAGCCUUUCACCUGUCAGCUCUGUGGGAAAAGAUUUAGUGAAAAGGGAAGUUUAAACACACACAUGAGAGUCCACACUGGACAGAAGCCUUUUGCUUGUGAGCUCUGUGGAACGAAAUUUAGCCAAAAGAAAACUUUAAACCGACACAUGAGCGUCCACACUGGAGAGAAGUCUUUCGCCUGUGAGCUCUGUGGUAAUAGAUUUAGUGAAAAGGGAAGUUUAAACACACACAUGAGAGUCCACACUGGAGAGAAGCCUUUCGCCUGUGAGCUCUGUGGUAAUAGAUUUAGUGAAAAGGGAAAUUUAAACACACACAUGAGAGUCCACACCGGAGAGAAGCCUUUCGCCUGUGAGCUCUGUGGUAAUAGAUUUAGUGAAAAGGGAAGUUUAAACACACACAUGAGAGUCCACACUGGAGAGAAGCCCUUUCCUUGUGAGCUUUGUGGAACGAGAUUUAGCCGUCAGACACAUUUAAACAGUCACAUGAGAGUCCACACUGGACAGAAAUCUUUUGUCUGUGAGCUCUGUGGAACGAGAUUUAGCCAAAAGACAAACUUAACCAGACACAUGAAAGUCCACACAGGAGAUAAGCCCUUUCCUUGUGAGCUCUGUGGAACGAGAUUUAGCCAAAAGACAAAUUUAAACAGUCACAUGAGAGUCCACACAGGAGAGAAGUCUUUCGCCUGUGAGCUCUGUGGUAAUAGAUUUAGUGAAAAGUCAGCUUUAAACAUACACAUGAGAGUCCACACAGGAGAGAAGCCUUUCGCCUGUGAGCUCUGUGGUAAUAGAUUUAGUGAAAAGGGAAGUUUAAACACACACAUGAGAGUCCACACUGGACAGAAGCCUUUUGCUUGUGAGCUCUGUGGAACGAAAUUUAGCCAAAAGAAAACUUUAAACCGACACAUGAGCGUCCACACUGGAGAGAAGCCUUUCGCCUGUGAGCUCUGUGGUAAUAGAUUUAGUGAAAAGGGAAGUUUAAACACACACAUGAGAGUCCACACUGGAGAGAAGCCUUUCGCCUGUGAGCUCUGUAGUAAUAGAUUUAGUGAAAAGGGAAGUUUAAACACACACAUGAGAGUCCACACUGGAGAGAAGCCUUUCGCCUGUGAGCUCUGUGGUAAUAGAUUUAGUGAAAAGGGAAAUUUAAACACACACAUGAGAGUCCACACCGGAGAGAAGCCUUUCGCCUGUGAGCUCUGUGGUAUUAGAUUUAGUGAAAAGGGAAGUUUAAAUAAACACAUGAGAGUCCACACUGGAGAGAAGCCCUUUCUUUGUGAGCUUUGUGGAACGAGAUUUAUCCGUCAGACACAUUUAAACAGUCACAUGAGAGUCCACACUGGACAGAAAUCUUUUGUCUGUGAGCUCUGUGGAAUGAGAUUUAGCCAAAAGACAAACUUAACCAGACACAUGAAAGUCCACACAGGAGAUAAGCCCUUUCCUUGUGAGCUCUGUGGAACGAGAUUUAGCCAAAAGACAAAUUUAAAGAGUCACAUGAGAGUCCACACAGGAGAAAAGCCUUUCGCCUGUGAGCUCUGUGGUAAUAGAUUUAGUGAAAAGGAUAGUUUAAACACACACAUGAGAGUCCACACUGGAGAGAAGCCUUUCGCCUGUGAGCUCUGUGGUAAUAGAUUUAGUGAAAAGGGAAGUUUAAACAGACACAUGAGAGUCCACACUGGAGAGAAGCCUUUCGCCUGUGAGCUCUGUGGUAAUAGAUUUAGUGAAAAGGGAAGUUUAAACAAACACAUGAAAGUCCACACAGGAGAGAAGCCCUUUCCUUAUGAGCUUUGUGGAAAGAAAUUUAGCCAAAAGACAACUUUAAACAGUCACAUGAGAGUCCACACUGGGGUUUCGCCUGUGAGUUCGGUGGAAAAGUUUUACCCAAAAGAUCAGUUUAAACGGUCACAGAAGAGUCAAUAAAGGACAGAAGCCUUUUGCUUGUGAGCUCUGUGGAUGAAGAUUUAGCUGAAAGAAAACUUUAAACAAUCAUCUAAGCAUCUACUAGGGCUGAACGAUCUAUUGCAGGGGUCUCCAACAUUUUUUGGCCCGUGAGCUACUUUUACACAAUGAAGUACAGCAGAGUUACUGCCAUAUGAUUUAUUUACAUUGAUACUUUCCAUGUGUGAAUGUGCUUACAUGCAAUACUUACUAUAUUAACAUGCACUGUACUCACAAGUUGAUUUCUCUGUAUUUCAGUACAUCAGUAUAUAUAUUUUAAAAGUAUAAGUAAACUAGUGACAUUCUGAAAACCAAAUUAAACAAAACAUAUUUAGUUUUUUAAACUAAUCAGAUACUUUCAGAUAAUGAAUAACAAAUCUACUUCAUGUGAAUGAUUUGGUAUUUUUUUAGAAGGUUAGUAACAUAACUUUUUAAGCGCACAGGAACAGCUAACCUGUAAAGCUGAUGAUAUUUUAUAUAAAAUACAAGCUAAAUGUGAUAAAAACACAAAAGUCUAAAUAGUUUGAAUUGAAGUAAAAAAUGUAAAAUCAGAAAUGAGACUUGUUCCUGCUCUCCUGAUGUACUGAAUAAUUUUUAUGGGUUUUUUUUUUUUUGUCAUGAAAGUUAAGUUUUGCUGCAUUUAUUGCUGACAAUAUGAAGGUUGGGGGUUUAUCCUUUUUUCUGCAUCUUGUAGGUUUUUUUUCUCCACGCGUCUCUAAAUAAAGUAAAAUUUUCUAGUGCAGAGUGGAGACAACCCAUAGAAGUACUGAUUUGAUCUCAUUUCAGAGAAAAAUAGAACAGGUUAGAUGCACCUAAUAAAUAAAAUUAUAACAAUCUCAGGAAUCUGUUUCUUUGCUUCACUGUUCUGGUGCUGAGAAUAUCACUAAUGCGGAUCAAAGGAGAUACACAGAUGAAUGCACCUCUUAUUUAUUAUUUGGAGACUACAUUUACUGCAGCUGGCAGAGGCAGAGAUUUUUUCUAUUGAUACACGGAAUUUACAGAAUCAUUUUAAAUUUUAAUAGGGGAAGACUGCAGGAGGGAGCGGUAAAAUACAGGGGGUCCCCAGCAAAAACAAACUUUACGAGCCUGAUGAAACCCGCUGGUUUUCCAUCAGGCAGUCACGGGGCAGCUCCAACGACCCAGUGUCUGUGCUGGGUCACUGUUAUCGAGCUCAGUCCGGCUCGGCCGUGAACGAGCUGAGGCGAUGUCGUACUCUGCUUGAAGAGGUGUUAUUUUCCCGCUUCAGAAGAAGCGUUCAACGUGUUUUUAAGCUUUCUCCGAGACAUGUCACGUCGCUAAGUUGUUAGCGCCGCGCGCUAACACGUCAAUAGUGCAGCGUAGCCUGCUGGAGGUUUUAAGGGUUCAGAUGAAAACACCCGACCUCUCAGGCUGCUCACACAUCGAUCUUAAGUUGUCGCUGUUGCGCUCACAUCGUAAUACAGUAUUAGAUGCGGGUAAAGUCAGACAUGAAAAAAUAAAAUAAAUUUUACAUGAAUAAGUGAUGCUUAGCCUGGUGGGGAGAGGAAACCCUGUCAAGAUCGUCAACGCUCAUUUAUCUUAAUGCUAUUGAAACAUGUAAACCAAAAAGCAUUAUAUCCACUGCUACCUUUAUGCUGUAACUUCACCCUGCCCUGCCUGCUCCUCCUUGCUGCCUGCCGGCUGUGAUCACAAGCGACAACAUAGUAGUUCCCGCUGCUUCCUCGGGAAACAGCUAAAAAAAAAAUCCUAUGUAAGGGAAACCCUGGUGUAGUUAUUGUGUAAAGCAGUAUAUACUAGGAAUGAUUAAUAAAAAUAAAAACUAGAAUUGAACCUGAGUUACAUAGUAAUAACAAUUUAAGAACUCAGAAACAAUAAUACACUAACUUACUAAGUAAUUACCAUGUAAGUACUAAGUAAUUAGAGGAGUGUAAAAUAAAGCGCUACCAAUAAUUGUACUUAAUAUGCAUUUAUUUUUGUGUGCUAUGUUCUGUGUCAAUAUUCUUUGAUUUUAUUUUACACAACAUGAUGUGACAUUUUAACUAUUUCAUUUCACUUGUGAUUGUUUUAACUAUGUGAAGCACAUUGGGCUACCGUUUUGUGUAUGAAAUGGGCUAUAUAAUAAACUUGACUUGAGAGAGAGUUCACAAUCAUGUUUUGUUACUAAAUGAGACACUCAGCUGAAACUGGGGGAAAUAUAUGAUGAAUCUAAAUCACAGGAGAUGUCCAGAGUUUUUAAAGCCCGUGUUCAUCAUGUUGUGGGGACCACAAUGAGGCUACACUCACACCCAGUUCUUGGUACCACAGACGUAUAUAUUGACUUGGGACUGUUUGUAUGUAAAUAUUGUUGACUGCUUGGCCGCUUGAUCAGAACCAGAAACGUAUGUGUAACAGACCAUCUGGGUGUUCAAGGGGCCGUAUGUGGAGGGCCACACAGAGGCUACGCUCACACCCAGUUCUUUGGACUGUUUGUAUGCAGAUGUAGCAGGACUGGUUGGUGUCUCAACCAGUUGAUCGGCCAGCCUAUCACACAUAUUAAUCAAACCAGCCCACCAUUAAAACAUAUUACAGAUGAUAACAACUCUACUGCUUGUACUAUAAGAUUAAUGCACACAAUUUAAUUUAAGACAUUUAACUGCAUGUGUGCACGUGUUUGUUUGCACUGAAUGUGUUUGUGCACAUGGUUCACACGUGUGUAGGGUUAAUCUACAUACUAGAACUAACGCUGUUGCUAUCAGCUUUGUUAGAUUCUGAGAAAGACAAACAAGUUAAUAUAUGAAGCUUCUAUCAUAUAUAAACAUCUAGGAUAUUAAUAUAAUCGAUAGAAUUUCAUACACCAACGAGCUUGGUUUAUAUUUAAUCUAUGGAUUAAUAUUUAAUUUAAGAUGUUUAAAUUAAUAGCAAAAGUUUAUUUAUUAAACAGAAGACUUAAUAAGGUUCUUUGCUGAUUCAAUAACUGAAAAUGCACACCAUUCUGUGUUUCAUUCAAAGAGUCAGGUUUAAAAAUUUAAGAAUUUAUUACUAACAAUUUCAAAUCUGACAACUUAAAAUAGACAAUUUAUGAAUAACAAUUUAUAAAUGACAAAUUUGAACAACAAUUUUGAUAUUAAAACUUGUUAUUAAAGCAACCCCUGUGUCUGGAUGGAAAACUAAGUGGAAUGAUGAGGUUUGGAUGCGUGAAUGAAAUCUCAGAAGCUUUCUUUCAGAUGGAGAACGCGUUCUGGGUGAAACGUUGGUUUUUCAGCUAACUGAUGGUUUCUUAGAGAGAACAACAUCGGACGCAAUCUGUGUUCUACCUCACCGUUCAGACGACCCUCUGUGUGGAUCUGGAGGUCUGGAGGAUGUUGUCAGCCUCGGGGGUACUCCGGUCCGGCAGAUGACCAAGGGUACCGACUUUCUCUGGUCCUAGAGUUGCCGUGAGGUGCACAGGUAGAUGUGGCUUUGCAUCCGGGCAGAUUCUUAAGGAAUCUCGUAGUGUCAGCUGGUUAUAGGUGCGUUUAUUCAGAACUAUUCUAUCUGCGUGACAGAACGCUUAGUGAGGAGUCAGGCGGCCGACCCUUCUCCUCUGGGAUACUCUCGUUGCCACGAAGAAGUAUCAGCUUGGUUCAAGAACUGAACUUAAGCUGUGGAGCUUUGGUUUUAACAAAACCUCAGAACACGCCCUCUCAGAGACAGGAAGCAUGACUAUGGAAGACAUGUGAGGCAGUUACCUUGAAGUGAGUCCUGCAUGAGGUGUAAACACGUGCAAAAGACCUUCUGGUUACUGAACACACAUUACUGAUUAUCAUAAAUAAUUAUUAACCAAAGAAUAAUAAGUCAUUUCAUUAGUUAAAAAUACAUUUAUAAUGACCUAUGAUGAUCAUUUAUGAUGAUUAUAGUUAACCUUAUAAUAAAAGAGUUUAUUAAAUUAUUUGAUUAGAGUUGAAGGUCCUUCAUCUCGUGAUGGAACAGCAAACAGAUAAACAGUCAGAUUGAAGACGGUGUUAUUGUAGACUAUUCGGCUCCUGGUGGUUUAAUCUGUGGAUGGAAGUUACAGCUCAACCCAGCUGUGACCCAGCUGGAAAGAGUGAACUUUGCCCCACAAAAUGAGGCCAUUCAUGAUGCUACACGUGCGACCAUCAAGAACAAAGUAGAAAUUCAGCGAAAGAAAGCAAAUUGACUAUAUAUUAAUUUGGUACAAGUGUGAACCUAGAGCCCCACGACUGUUAUUUUAGGUACGGAGAGUGAUCACGCUAGAUCAAACAAUGGGCUGAGACAAUGUCUUCCUCCAAACUUGAGUUUAUUUACACACAAUGCAUAAAACAAGUUAUUCUGUUACAACCUCAACCAGGUCUGGGAUCCUGGGAGGGCUAACACAGGUACGUGAGUGCAAAAAAUAAAAAUAAAAUAGGGAGCAGUACACCAAAUCAUAUUUGACAAAACAAACAUUUUAUCAACAAAAAGCGUCCCUCGUCAUCGUCUUCCUCAGCUUAUCCGGGUCCGGGUCGCGGGGGCAGCAUCCCAACUAGGGAGUUCCAGACUGUCCUCUCCCCGGCCACCUCCACCAGCUCCUCCGGCAGGACCCCAAGGCAUUCCCGGACCAUAUUGGAGAUGUAACCUCUCCAACGUGUCUUGGGUCGACCCGGGGGCCUCCUGCCGGCAGGACAUGCCCGAAACACCUCCCCAGGGAGGCGUCCAGGAGGCAUCCUGACCAGAUGCCCAAACCACCUCAACUGACUCCUUUUGAGCCGGAGGUGCAGCGGUUCUCUUCCGAGUCCCUCCCAAAUGUCCGAGCUCCUCACCCUAUCUCUAAUGCUGAGCCCGGCCACCCUACGGAGGAAACUCAUUUCGGCCGCUUGUAUCCGCGAUCUCGUUCUUUCGGUCAUUACCCAAAGCUCAUGACCAUAGGUGAGGAUUGGGACGUAGAUUGACUGGUAAAUCGAGAGUCUGGCUUUCUGGCUCAACUCCCUCUUCACCACGACAGAUCGGCUCAGCGUCCGCAUCACUGCAGAUGCUGAACCAAUCCGCCUGUCGAUCUCCCGAUCCCUCCUACCCUCACUCGUGAACAAGACCCUAAGAUACUUAAACUCCUCCACUUGAGGUUGGACAUCUCUCCCGACCCGGAGUUGGCAAGCCACCCAUUUCCGGUCGAGAACCAAAAAGCGUCCCUACGGGAGAUAAACGACAACACAAAAUGGAAGAAGACUUGUUAAGACAAAAAUGAUAUUCCAGAAAUGUUCUGAGUAAUAUGGCCAUUUAACACUCGGCCUUAACAUUAACUUAUCUGUGCGAAUACUGGGGAUUCACCCAGAGAAUCCAAAUAUGAGGCCUUACCAGAAACAAAGGGGGAGCAGACUCAACCAAACAAUAACCACCCUCAACAACAUAACGACAAGCGGAAGUAAGGGAAGCCGGCCCCAAAAGAACAUAACGCUUUCCCUAAGGUUACGUCCAAACCGUCUGGAUAAUACCAUAGCUUUAAGAACUCCCCCGAGCCUCCAGAGUUCCAAGAGAAAAAAGAACAUUGCUGGUGGGCCAGUUCUGGCUGACAGAUGGGAUUUGGGUGUUGGUUGUCUUAUUUGUUGGGAUGCACAUUUUGUAUCUGUGUUCUGUUUAUGUGGCUUUACCUCAAAAGAACUUUGAAAUCUCAUCUCUACACAAAUCUUAUUUCACAAACCAGGAAAAAAAUCUAUAUCUAUCUAUCUAUCUAUCUAUCUAUCUAUCUAUCUAUCUAUCUAUCAUCUAUCUAUCAUCUAUCUAUCUAUCUAUCAUCUAUCUAUCUAUCUAUCUAUCUAUCUAUCUAUCUAUCUAUGGUUAAUCAUCAGUAUGCUUUGUGAAAAUAAGGUUUGAUCACACAUGUAUUUAUAUGCUUAUAAUGAAUCACCUGUAUGUUAAUCCCCAUAUUAAUCAUUUCAAUGUUCGGGUGUUACUCACGUCCCUUUGAACUGAACGAUGCAUAUACCAAAUGGAUGACUCACCUGUGACUGGUACGUUCUAGCACUGAGUUAGACCUAUAUCUGAUUUAUGCAGGCUGAUACUGCUAGAAGUUUCAGCUUGUGUUGAAGGAGAUUCUCAACAGGCGAAGGCCAGGUGCAGACCAGACCAUCUAAAAGCUGUUCAACGGGAAAAAGCCAGGGCGUAGGUCAUCGCAGCCUUAGCAAAGGAAGAUAGGGUAGGAAGCAGAUGGGGCAAUGUGUCUCCCAUCUUAUCUGGAGGAGGGAGUGAAAGCAGAGAGGGGUGUCAGUUACCAUGGCAACAGGUGAUGGCCUUCAAUAAAGUUAGGGAGGGGUCAACAUGAAACUUUGCAUCAUGAGAGGAAGAAUCAAAAGGUGUACAUCUUGUAAAAUUUUCAGAUUUGUCACAGGGACUGGGGCGGCAGAAUCUCUCCUAAUGCACGUGGAGAAUAAAGUGUGAUGAUUGCAACAUAAGGCAACUUGUGGCUUACUUCUUGUCCCACGCCCUGGUUGUAACUGCCUUCUAUAAUUUUGUACACAACUGUAACAGAAAUGUUGUGACUGUAUCUUUUGCUGCCUCUUGGCCAGGGCUCCCUCAAAACUGAGAACUUUAAUCUCAAUGGAACCUUCCUGGUUAAAUAAAGAAUAUAAAAAUAAGUAAAUAAAAUGUAUUUAGAUGAUGAAACGUCAAAAAGGAAAAUUAUUUUACUUGUUUGUCAGUGCAUUUGAAGAAACAACUUAAAAUGUUAUUUAUUUAACCAGAUGAGUCGAUAGAGAACUCAUUCUCAUUUACAACAAUGAUCUGGCCAAGAGGCAGCAGCAACAGACACAUAAUUAGCUUUACAUCAAAGAAAAACAAAUGAGAUAAAAACAAACUAGAUUGAAAUAAAGUAAAUUACAGAAUUAUUAUAGCAGGUGUAAAACUAACUUGUCUUUACUUUAAGUAAUUGUUUGAGGAAGAUAUCACAUGUUAUGUGUGUUUUAUUAGUCCCAUUCUGAACACACAGGUGUUUUAUUCUGCUCCAGCAGGUGGCGCUAGUGCACCUUUACGCUGGUCACCGACCACCUGAAGAAGCAGAAACCGGAAGCUGCUAGCAGAGCUAGCUUGUUGUUCUGGUGUGUGAGGAGAACAUUUGAGGCUCUGCAGUAAAAAUGUCUUCACUUCAGUCUCUGGGAGAGUUGAUCAGCUAAAGCAACUAACUGCUGCUGCUGCAGAAAUCUUCUCACCAGGCUGUGGAAACUUUCUUCUCCUCCUCAACAACUUGGUGGAGUUCUUUCCAGAACCAGAGAAGAUAUUCUGCGGUCUUCGUGACAAUCGGAGCUCCAGAAUCAGGUUGUGGAUUGAAGAGGUUCCCUCUAUCAGACUCGCUCAUCUGAGUUGGUCAUGAUGCAGGAUCGCUGCUCGCUCUCUCAUCCAUCCUGCUCACACUCUCCGACGGAAAAGCCCCGAAUCUGAAUGUGACUCUGGAGGAAAAAGUGGUUAGCUCUACUCCGUGAACUCUGCUGUUAGCUAAACACGGCUAAAGAAAACCUGCUACCACUUCAGGAUCAUCCAUCAGCUGGGACUGAUUCAUCGUGUGUUCUUCACCACCUGGACCUGGACAGCAUGGACACAGGUACUGGUGGAUGAAUGAAUGAAUAUAUGGUCAGUCUAUGGUGGGACAUUACAGUGAAAUUAUGAGAAUGAGGUUCAAUCUUUAAAAUAAUGAUCUGUAUAUGUUUAGCACUACUGGGGUUCUAAACCCCCCAAAGCGUUUUACAUCACAACCAGUCAUUCACACACUGUUGUAGAACCUUGUAGUUUUAGAGUGAUUAGAUCUCUCUAAUGAAUGAUUUUUGAAGCCAAGUAUAGUUAAAGUCCCAAAGUCAUCGUCACACACUGGUGAAGUUACGUCCUGCAUUCGACCCGUCCCCAUGGGGAGCGGUGAGAUGAAGCUGUGGGAACUAUUUGGUCUUCUGUCGGGUUUCAGUCACUACGAGAAUCAGUCAGAGACAGGAGAGGUUUUCAUCGUGUUCACAACCUACCUUUGUUGUAGCGUCAGUCACGCAUCAUCAUUUGACCAAUCACAGUUGGGGAGACAGCCUGCUGCAGACACGACGGCAGCGGCGCUGACAGCACGUAUGACUGCUGUUGCUUCAGCACGUCGCUGUGGUUUAGAGCUUAAAGGCCCAGUGUGUAAAAACAUUCGACUCUUCAGCGCCACGCAGUUCAGAGUAAGUAUUGCAGCUCCGGUAGCCCACACUAGGGUUGGGCUGUUUUUCCAUUCGCCCAUCAUUAGUCCAGUAAAUGACGAUGGGCCGUGGUGUGUGCGUGUGACUGAUUACGGUAUGAUUCACUGACUGAUUUGCGAACACAGAAGAAGUCUAAACAUGGAUGUUUUUAUGGAUGUGCAGCACAAAUUAGAUUUUUCUUUUUGUUUAACUCACUCACUGCCAGCCGUUUCCUGAUCAGAAAAGCUCUUCUCUGCCAGCGUUUUUCAGCGUUUUUACUGUUUUUUUAAGAGUCACAGAACGUUGCUCUAUGAUGAUGUCAACGCCAAAACUACCAAAACAAAGAGUAGACUCACCUCUUACAGGAAGAAUCCGCGCAUUUUGACCGUUAUCUGUUCUUUCAUAAGCCGUUGUUGAAUAGUGAUCGGCAGAAACUUUUCCGGUUCUCGCCUCACUUUUUUUUUACAGCAGCGUCCCAAAACGAUCUCCUAACACACACGUGUCAGACACCAUGCGGCCCGUGGAGCAUUUUUAUGUGGCCCGCGAGAUAAUUAUCAAAAAUAUCUUAAAACUGGCCCGCCAAGACUACAACUCCCAUGAUGCUUUGCAGCGUUAACGCAGAGCCGAAGUGCCCCCUCCUUUGUGUUUUUUCCAGCGUCUGCUGCCGGUGUCUGCAGCUCCGCUGUCUCAGACAAACUAAACACUCCUCUCACUCAGCGCCGAGUUUUCUCAGCUAUUUUCUGACGUUGAAGCCCAGAAACGGAGAUUCUAGCCGCUCAGUAAUGUGUUCACGACUGAAAGAGAAAGUUUUCCAGCUAACUUCCAGACAGAGCUGGUAUAACUCCAGCGAGCAGCAACACGCUCAAACCAGCACGACUCUGUGGCUGCUGUAGUUGUUAUUUUUCCUCCCCGACACACAACGACGUGGUCAAGCUGCUCAGACAUGUUCAUCAGCACAAACCUAUGUGAGCACCUGUUGUCACCUAAUGUUGUCAUUAUUAUGAUGAAGAUGAACAAAACAACAGGAGUCUCCUCCUCAGCUCAGAUCAACCCCAUGAUGCAGGUAUCUGGCUGGAACAGGUGAGCAUCACAGUAAACCAGUGGAGCAAACUGAGCUUUAAAUAUGUUGGUUUUAUGCUCUUUUUCUGCUCCAAAACAUGAAAGUUAACAGGUGAGAUGUUGCAUUUUCAUUUAAGAUAAAAUGAUAUUUUUAUUUUGUUGUUGGCCCGUGAGAAAAGAUUUAACCUACAGUAAACAGGAAGUGGAAAGGCUGCAGAUAGAUGAAUAGAAUAGAAAAUCCCUUUAUUGUUCCUCAGUGGGGAAAGCUAGACGUCACAGCAGCGAUGACACG